Molecule: long non-coding RNA, 668 nt
Organism: Raphanus sativus (radish)
Lineage: Eukaryota; Viridiplantae; Streptophyta; Magnoliopsida; Brassicales; Brassicaceae
Exons: 3
Source: RefSeq, a predicted model, not a curated record
CAACUUCAGGAACGCAUGUGUAUUUCGAUAAGGAGACUGAUUCAGGGGGAGUUGGUUUCUAUCAGUAGGUUUAUCGUUAGUUAAACAUGUAUGUGUACUGCUACUUAUUUGAAUACCUGAUCAUUAUUCUAGGUUGGUCGCCAGGGACACCGGUAUACCGUCAGCCGCUCCGCUGCUCAAAUCAUAUACGAAGGUCGAAAAGAUGACCAUCCAUGAGCUCAACAAUUUUGUUGUCUCUGCUGCGUCUCAGGAAAUUGAUUUCAUGUGCACUGGGAGGGUUGUUCGUGUUGACACCGAUAAGGGGUGGUGCUAUGUUGCUUGCUCCAAAUGCAGUAAAAAAAUUGCAACAUACUGACUCUGCCUAUACGUGUGGACAAUGCAAUAAUUCGCAUGCUGUUGGACUCUUCGCUAUCAUGUGGAAUGGCUAUAUCUGAUGAUACUGCGGAAAGCACUUUCGUUUGGUUUGACGGGGUAAUGACAAAACUGCAUAGUCUCCGAGUAAGUGAGGCUGUACAGAUGCUGGUACGAUACUUCUCUGUUUACAUGCAUGUGUGUCACCCGCUGAGCGUACUCUAUUUCCCAUCUGAUAUCAUGUCAUAUAGGCUGAGGACGAAGUGAAUCCUGAGUAUUCCAGGAUACCUCCGUUUAUUGCAGAAACGGAAGGAAGG